RNAcentral lists this ribosomal RNA (660 nucleotides) under Vibrio sp. 1-1. Its description in RNAcentral is "bacterial SSU rRNA". It matches the Rfam family "Bacterial small subunit ribosomal RNA", at positions 797 to 1533 of the family's 1533-position model. The record is from RNAcentral. Lineage: Bacteria; Pseudomonadati; Pseudomonadota; Gammaproteobacteria; Vibrionales; Vibrionaceae.
UCCCCCUAAAAAAUAUUUUGGAAGGUGGGCGCCCGACCCUGCGUUCCGAAGGUCAAGUUUAAAAGACACCCUGGGGAGACGGUCGCAAUAAAAUAACUCAUAAAUUAGGCAGGGGCCCCACACAAGGGGUGGCACAUGGUUUUUUUUUUGGCGCCACGAAAACCCCCCUACCCUUCCUCCCAUCCAGAAAACUUUCCAGAGAUAGAUUGGUGCUUUUGGAAAUUUUAAGACAGGGGCCCCAUGGCUGUCGUCAGCUCAUUUUGUGAAAUGUUGGGUAAAGUCCCGCAACGAGCGCAACCCUUAUCCUUGUUUCCCAGCGAGUAAUGUCGGGAACUCCAGGGAGACUGCCGGUGAUAAACCGGAGGAAGGUGGGGACGACGUCAAGUCAUCAUGGCCCUUACGAGUAGGGCUACACACGUGCUACAAUGGCGCAUACAGAGGGCGGCCAACUUGCGAAAGUGAGCGAAUCCCAAAAAGUGCGUCGUAGUCCGGAUUGGAGUUUGCAACUGGACUCCAUGAAGUCGGAAUCGUUAGUAAUCGUCGCUAUAAAGUGCACCACGGGCGCUGUAGGGUGCGCCCCGGUCUCCGUAUAUCGUGACACGGGGGCGGUGUAGAUUGUGCCACGGUCGCCGUAAGUCGUGACACAGGUAGCCGUAGAGU